RNAcentral lists this ribosomal RNA (492 nucleotides) under uncultured bacterium. RNAcentral's name for it is "partial 16S ribosomal RNA". It matches the Rfam family "Bacterial small subunit ribosomal RNA", at positions 29 to 507 of the family's 1533-position model. The record is from RNAcentral.
AGUGAACGCUGGCGGUAGGCCUAACACAUGCAAGUCGAACGGCAGCACAGUAAGAGCUUGCUCUUACGGGUGGCGAGUGGCGUACGGGUGAGGAAUACAUCGGAAUCUACUUUUUCGUGGGUGAUAACGUAGGGAAACUUACGCUAAUACCUCAUACGACCUACGGGUGUAAGCAGGAGAUCUUCCGACCUUGCGCGAUUGAAUGAGCCGAUGUCGGAUUAGCUAGUUGGCGGGGUAAAGGCCCACCAAGGCGACGAUACGUAGCUGGUCUGAGAGGAUGAUCAGCCACACUGGAACUGAGACACGGUACAGACUACUAUGGGAGGCAGCAGUGGGGAAUAUUGGACAAAGGGAGCAAGCCUGAUCCAGCCAUACCGCGUGGGUGAAGAAGGCCUUCGGGUUGUAAAGCCCUUUUGUUGGGAAAGAAAAGCAGCAGGUUAAUACCGCGCUGUUCUGACGGUACCAAAAGAAUAAGCACCGGCUAACUUCGUG